This 2033-nucleotide long non-coding RNA is filed under the name Homo sapiens (human). Its description in RNAcentral is "HSALNT0234552". Lineage: Eukaryota; Metazoa; Chordata; Mammalia; Primates; Hominidae. The record is from RNAcentral.
UUUGGGUCCCCUUCCACACUGGAAGCUUUGUUCUUUUGCUCUUCACAAUAAAUCUUGCUGCUGCUCAUAGAAAGAUGCAAGCUAGUGCUAGCGAGACAGCCUGCAAAACCCCUGUGUUGUUUUGGGCUGUUAACCAUAGUCUGAGUGGCUUAGACAACAAACAUUUAUUUCUCACAGUUCUAGAGGCUAGAAGUCCAAGAGCAGAUGCCAGCAGACCUGUCUGGGGAAGGCCUGCUUCUUGGCCUGGAGACAGCCGCUUGCUCACUAUGUCUUCACAGGGCAGAGUGAACCCUGGUCUGUUUCUCUUACAAGGACACUCAUCCCACUGUGGGCCUCCACCUUUGUGAUUUCAUCUAUACCUAAAAGGCCCCACUUCCUAGUAUUCCGCCGGGGGUUCAGGCUUCAAAGAUGAAUACUGGGGGCGACACAAACGGAGCCCAUAACCUCAUGCCGCCUGACUCCUGAGGCUGUAUUCGUGAUGAACGUGUGGCUGCCCAAGUUUUGUUUUGCUCAGGCAGGAUCAGCACACACCCAGCCACAGACAGGGAAGCCCAGAGCAGGGCAGAAUAUGGUCCCUCAAGUGAAUAAUUGGCCCAGGGAUACAGAAUUAGGUGAUUCUAGCAAAUCCAGACAUUUUCUAGGGUGCCAGUGAAUUUUGGGUCUGUCCCUGUUAGCUGUUCUUGAGAUUUUGCACUCAACUUGCGAUGGUUAAUACGGAGUGUCAACUUGAUUGGAUUGAAGGAUGCAAAGUAUUGUUUCUGGGUGUGUCUGUGAGGGUGUUGCCAAAGGAGAUUAACAUUUGUGUCAGUGGGCUGGGAAAGGCAGACCCACCCUCAAUCUGGGUGGGCACCAUCUAAUCAGCUGCCAGCGUGGCCGGAAUAAAAGCAGGCAGGAGAAUGUGGAAAGACUAGACUAGUCUUGUGGCCUCCAUCUUUCUCCUGUGCUGGAUGCUUCCUGCCCUUGAACAUCGGACUCCAAGUUCUUCCGUUUUGGGACUUGGAUUAGCUUCCUUGCUCCUCAGCCUGCAGACGGCCUACUGUGGGACCCCUUCUUACUGAAAGCCUCCCUGUAAGGUGCUGAUUGCCUUCCAGAUCUGAGGACCCCGUCUCUGCCUCAUUCCUCCUGUUUCCAUCAGAAGACACAGGUCUGGGACUCAGCGCAGCUGACCUGUCUGUCCCUCUCUGCACAGUUUACUCCUGGGCUCUGCAGAGAGAAGUCAGUGCCUCAAUUUUCCAUUGAAAUAUGCACCCUUGGCAUCCUGGCAGGAGUGGCAGCCACAGCAAAACAUCUUCUGCAGCGUCUGGCCAGGGCGUUACUCCAGCCCAGUUUUGCCCUGGACUAGAUUGAGUCAGGUCGUGCAUGGAACGCAAGCACAAACCACGGUCAGCUCCUCGAGACUGACCCACUGGCCCACUGAGCAGAGGAGCCCCUGGGUCUCUGGACGCUGCCCAGUUGUUGACAUCCUGAGGCAGGUUUGCGGCUGAUGGAGCAACAGGGACGGGCUGGGCCCGGCACCUUUUUCACGGAAAUGAUGAGCUCUGGACAGCAGUGAUGCCAGGGCCCAUAAAGCCUCAGGCGCCCGUCAUUGCUGCUGCCUGCGUGUGCUCGCUCACCGCGACGGCGGCGGGCUGGAGGAAGCUGUGCAAGAGCCAAGUGUCUACCAUGAGUCUGCAUGUUCAUAUGGUUCAGAUUUGCCUUGGAAUCCCCGCGAGCCAAACUCUUUCAUUUCACUUAGUAAAAGGGAUGCAUUGACUCAGAUGUUCUGUCCUAUUUAAAUGAGAGGGGCGCGGGAGGUGAUGGAACACAAAACCAUGAGCCAUGGCUUUGCUGGGGAAUGCUGUGGAUCUGGUGUGUGAUAGAGAGAGAGUGUGUGUGCGUGUGUGUGUGUGUAUGGCAAAGUGCACAAAUCGCACGUGUACACCUCAGUGGCUUUUUACACAUUUAGACGUGUGUAAGUGUAUAGAGCAUUUCCACACCCCAGAGGCCCCGAGCUCACUCCCUCCCGCUCUCCCCAUCCCUGACGCUAACCUGAU